This 324-nucleotide ribosomal RNA is filed under the name Triticum aestivum (bread wheat). RNAcentral describes it as "partial small subunit ribosomal RNA". Lineage: Eukaryota; Viridiplantae; Streptophyta; Magnoliopsida; Poales; Poaceae. The record is from RNAcentral.
AUGUUGGACGAGAGAAUCAAAGACGUGAAAGUCGUCUAUCUCGUGCUCAUGGACACUUCAUCCUUAUCCAGAAUACGCACCUUGAGAAAUCCUUUUUCCUUUGGAGUGUCUGCUUUUAGUCGAAGUAUAUUCACCAGGGCAGUGGCUGCGAUGACGGAUGGGAGAGCUGACGACGGGAAUGUUGUUUAUCUCACGCUUUAUGAUGAAUACUUCAUCAUUGAACAGGAUCCAAACCCUGCAAAAUCCUUUCGCCUCCGGAGUGUGCGGUUUUGGUCAAAGUAUGUUCACCAUGGCAGUGGCCAUGAUGAUGGACGUGAGAAUUGA